RNAcentral lists this unclassified non-coding RNA (339 nucleotides) under uncultured Cellvibrionales bacterium. RNAcentral's name for it is "contains 16S-23S intergenic spacer region". It matches the Rfam family "Bacterial small subunit ribosomal RNA", at positions 860 to 1198 of the family's 1533-position model. Lineage: Bacteria; Pseudomonadati; Pseudomonadota; Gammaproteobacteria; Cellvibrionales. The record is from RNAcentral.
CACGUCAUCCCACCUGGGGAGUACGCUCGCAAGAGUGAAACUCAAAUGAAUUGACGGGGGCCCGCACAAGCGGUGGAGCAUGUGGUUUAAUUCGACGCAACGCGAAGAACCUUACCUACUCUUGACAUCCUGAGAACUUUCUAGAGAUAGAUUGGUGCCUUCGGGAGCUCAGUGACAGGUGCUGCAUGGCUGUCGUCAGCUCGUGUCGUGAGAUGUUGGGUUAAGUCCCGUAACGAGCGCAACCCUUGUCCUUAGUUGCCAUCAGGUUAUGCUGGGAACUCUAAGGAGACUGCCGGUGACAAACCGGAGGAAGGUGGGGAUGACGUGUGCGUAACAGAA